RNA transcript from Lytechinus pictus (painted urchin), 2616 nucleotides. RefSeq lists it as uncharacterized. The transcript has 13 exons. The record is from RefSeq and is a predicted model, not a curated record. Lineage: Eukaryota; Metazoa; Echinodermata; Echinoidea; Temnopleuroida; Toxopneustidae.
GUACUCGAGCACUCUUAUAUGGCUCGGAAACGAGCCGUAUGUGUACAUAUGUAGUCGUAGAGACUGACAAGGUAUUGAAUCUUCAGGACCACGUCAAGAUUGAUUCUUCACAUCGUAGGUCGUUGGCUCGCCAACGUUGAGAAUGGAGACCAGUUCCAGUGCCCCUCAGCUGAGGUCAUUUUCUUUCCGUGAUGGGGUUAUUUUGGUGAUCCUGUCUCUCAUGGCAACCUAUCUCCUGAGAGUGCAGCAUAGCUUUGAACUUGUUCCCUCUUGGCGGUACGAGGUCAGCACUGGUUUCUACGAGGAGAGCCUGAAUACCCGCACCCUGAAAAAAUUGCCUGUUCCGUUAGUAGCUGAUAUUGAGAGUGAUGGGAAAAAUGAGAUCUUACUGGCAACCAAAGAUUCUUCACUGCUUCUUCUCAAGACCUCUAAACCUUCACCGGGGUCCAAGGCUCUACCGUAUCUCAACAGUCUUGAUGAAUUCUCUCUGCUCUCAAAUGAAGCUGAUAUAGCUGGAGACAAGAAACAAGCAGUUGCUAUGGCAACAGGGUACUUGGAGCCUCUGACUUCAGAUCAUCAAGUUCGGAAGCAGGUAGUUGUAGUUCUGUGUGCUGAUUGGACCGUGGUGUGCCUUGAUAAUGAUUUCAAAUUAAUUUGGUCAAUAAAGCUUCCAAAUACAUCCUGGAGUCAUCAGUAUGUCAUCAGCGAGGCGGCCAUCUUGAUUCUUCCUCAUAGCCUGCAAGCUAACGAUGGUGGACUAGUGAUCAUUGGUGGCAGGCUUGCAGAUAAACUUGCACAUGCAACACUCAAGCACAGUCAUGAUGGUCAUGGAUUCAAUGGUGCUAAUAAGGAGAGCGAUUCAAACCAUGAUGUAGGCCAUUUCUCGACCUUUGCUCUAUCCGGUCGCCAUGGUGAUGUAAGAUGGCAUCAUCUUCCGGGUGAUUUUGGAGAAGAAACGAACACAGAAGAGGAAUUGUUCCAGGGAUUCCAUUUCAAGCUGAAUUUGAAGAGAGGUUGGGGUCAUCAGGGGGAACUUGGAUGGAACCAGUACAACCAGGCUCUCAUCAAACAAAUGCCUUUCCGCUGGCAGUCUAGCGUGAACACUAAGAUUGACAUUGCAGCGUUCCGCAAGGAUGGGGUCAGAAAGGGUGUUGAAAAGGACGAACAUAUUCUGUCAGUUUCGUCAUUCUUGACAUCAAGCUUUGAAGAGCACAUUGCUGGCCAUCAUUUUGGAGGUCUUCCGCCACACUCGGCAUCAGAACACAUCAAGAAUCCUAACGCUGUUAUCAUCCAUUCUCAGCAGGGUAUAGAGGUCUUGGAGCUGAAGACCGGCCGACCUUUGACCCGGCUUGACCUGUCAUCCGAUGCAACAUACGCUGACAUUGACAAAGAUGGUACUGUUGAUCAAGCAAAAGGUUUGUUAAUUCAUGAAGUAGCAUUUAAAUUGAGUAAAGUGGAGAAUUGUUUAAUAUCUUUUUGGUAGCCAUUCAUAAUGUUCUCUUAUGUGGAAGAUACGUCACAAAACAAAAAUAAACCUCAUAUAUCUACAUUCCAAAAGAUAAAGCAAAAGAGAAAAAAUAAACAGAUAUACAAACACACAAAUAUAGCAGGUGCGCAUACUUUUUUAAAAUGUUUGCUGACUCUGAUGAACUUACCAGCUUGCCCGGGCAUAGCAGCCAUAGUAGAUUAUUUGUUGCACUCACAUCAAACUUACAAAAUACUAAUCUAAAUAAUGCCUACAUGUACUUUCUAUACAAUUUUCCAAGUUUUUUAGGAAUGCAUUACUGUAAUGUGUAGAAGGCAAAUAUAAAAUGUCACAUGCUUUCACAUUUAAAAAGUACAGUCAAAAUUGGUAUGCUUAAUAUGCAAGUAGCUUCACCCAUUCCUCAAUCAGAUUAAAUGAAACUAAGAAACGCCCAACUUUCAAACAACGUUAAUUCCAUUAGGUGGGGCGAUAUUUCUCCAAUUUAAGAUCAGCAUACGUUAUGGCCAUAUAUAUUUCACUGUUACUUACAUACAUAUACCGUAGUACAGUCAAAAUGAGUAUGGUAUGCAAGUGGUUUCACUUGCAUACUCAUUGACUAGUCAACUCUAGCUUGUGGGAAGUCUGUUAAGUCUUAUAAUGUCGGUGAGGAAGCAUAGGUUUAAAAGCCUGGUAGUCGGGGUGAGAGACUACUGGUAUGACCCCCCUUGCACAGAGCCUGAUGAUUAUCAUACUUCUCCAGAGAAAGCUUAGGCUGUCCUGCCUGGUACAGAGGUUGUGGUCCAAUGUCAGCAUCAUUGCCAUCAGUGAUCCUUCUUGUACCGGCCAUUCUGAUUACAUCAUACUCAUCAUCCAGAUGAAAAUACAUGAACUUGAAACGGAUUGUUGUUUGGUCACUCUUGAUGUCUUGUACUGUCAUGAACUUUGUCCAUUCUAUGUUUUGGUUUCCCUCGGAUGACCUAACACGUAUGGUGCUUCGUUUUUGACUGUAUGACUUCCAGUCUGUGAGGUCUGAACAGCCAUCACUCUUCUCCUUACAUUUGCUAACCUUACUAGGAGUAAUAUUUGAUGCUGAAGAUUUUUCAGACAAUUACAAAACAAUGGCGAGAGCAAUGAUACAAGUUUGUAUUGAC